UUGGAGGGCAAGUCUGGUGCAGCAGCCGCGGUAAUUCCAGCUCCAAUAGCGUAUAUUAAAGUUGUUGCAGUUAAAAAGCUCGUAGUUGAAUUUCGGGAUCAAAUAAUCGGUCGUGCCUCCGGUACGUACUGGUUUUAUUGGUUCCUCCCUUCUGACGAAGCAUGAUGUCAUUAAUUUGAUGUGGUGGAGAAUCAGGACUGUUACCUUGAAAAAAUUAGAGUGUUUAAAGCAGGCUAACGCUUGAAUACAUUAGCAUGGAAUAAUGAAAUAGGACGUUCGACCCUAUUUUGUUGGUUUCUAGGAUCGGCGUAAUGAUUAAUAGGGAUAGUUGGGGGCAUUAGUAUUCAAUUGUCAGAGGUGAAAUUCUUGGAUUUAUUGAAGACUAACUACUGCGAAAGCAUUUGCCAAGGAUGUUUUCAUUAAUCAAGAACGAAAGUUAGGGGAUCGAAGACGAUCAGAUACCGUCGUAGUCUUAACCAUAAACUAUGCCGACUAGGAAUCGGGCGUCGUUAUUUUAAUGACUCGCUCGGCGCCUUACGGGAAAC
This 545-nucleotide ribosomal RNA is filed under the name uncultured Glomeraceae. Its description in RNAcentral is "SSU rRNA". It matches the Rfam family "Eukaryotic small subunit ribosomal RNA", at positions 548 to 1098 of the family's 1831-position model. Lineage: Eukaryota; Fungi; Glomeromycota; Glomeromycetes; Glomerales; Glomeraceae. The record is from RNAcentral.